GCGAUCUUGGCUCAUUGCAACUUCCACCUCCCAGGUUCAAGCGAUUCUCCUGCCUCCAUCUUCCGAGUAGGUGGCAUUACAGGCAUGUGCCACCACGCCCGGCGAGUUUUGUAUUUUUAGUAGAGAUGAGGUUUCUCCAUGUUGGUCAGGCUAGUCUCGAACUCCUGACCUCAGGUGAUCCACCCACCUUGGCCUCCCAAAGUGCUGGGAUUACAGGCAUGAGCCACUGCGCCCAGUAUAUAUCCACCACUUUACCAUCCACAUUAGCAUUUCAUUAGCUUCUCUUUGCCCUUUUAGUUAAUAACCCCAUCUCAGGGUGAUUCACUUUCAUAAUCCGUAUUACCAUGGAUUAAUUCUGCAUAGCAAAAACUAUGAUAGGUGUGUUAAGUAAUGAAGUUUGGGGAAUGUUAAUAAGAUGAUUUCUCUUACUGUAGAUGAAAUACAUCGUAAGAGAAUCCCUCGUGAGACCAGAUCAGUUACAUGUAUAUCUUGCCUCUCUUAAGUCUCUACCAUUUAUUACUGUACUUGAGUUAGGAUUUGGAAGUGCCACUGAACACUAAAAUUAUUCUGUCUGGGUAUUUGAAUGGUGUGAGACAAAAAUCCAUUUUAAUGUUUUAUCAAGUUGAGAUGUCUCACAUGAGUAGUUAGUGCUGAGAAUCAGACACAGGCACAUUUGGGAGCAUGGCGUGGCAAGAAGCUUUGCUUUUUCC
RNAcentral lists this long non-coding RNA (710 nucleotides) under Homo sapiens (human). RNAcentral describes it as "HSALNT0166582". Lineage: Eukaryota; Metazoa; Chordata; Mammalia; Primates; Hominidae. The record is from RNAcentral.